This 432-nucleotide ribosomal RNA is filed under the name uncultured bacterium. RNAcentral describes it as "partial 16S ribosomal RNA". It matches the Rfam family "Bacterial small subunit ribosomal RNA", at positions 29 to 507 of the family's 1533-position model. The record is from RNAcentral.
AACGAACGCUGGCGGCAUGCCUAACACAUGCAAGUCGAACGGGACCUUCGGGUCUAGGGGCGCACGGGUGCGUGACGCGUGGGAACCUGCCCUUAGGUUCGGAAUAACUCCCCGAAAGGGGUGCUAAUACAGGAUAAUGUCUUCGGACCAAAGAUUUAUCGCCUUUGGAUGGGCCCGCGUUGGAUAGGGAGUUGGUAGGGUAAAAGCCUACCAAGGCGACGAUCCAUAGCUGGUCGGAGAGGAUGAUCCGCCACACUGGGACUGAGACACGGCCCAGACUCCUACGGGAGGCAGCAGUGGGGAAUAUUGGACAAGGGGCGAAAGCCUGAUACAGCAAUGCCGCGUGAGUGAUGAAGGGCUUAGGGUUGUAAAGCUCUUUUACCCGGGAUGAUAAUGACAGUACCGGGAGAAUAAGCUCCGGCUAACUCCGUG